RNAcentral lists this long non-coding RNA (1983 nucleotides) under Equus caballus (horse). Its description in RNAcentral is "lncRNA (ENSECAG00000039252.3)". Lineage: Eukaryota; Metazoa; Chordata; Mammalia; Perissodactyla; Equidae. The record is from RNAcentral.
CCCACUGGUUCCCAUCCUCAUGGGUCUCGCUGCUUGACUGGCUCAGCGUGGGCUACCUGGUGGAUGGAAAACUGGAGCCAGGAGACCUGGUUCUGGUCUCAGCUCUGCCACGUUCUAGCUCUGGAACCUGGGGGAGUUCUCCCUGAGGAGCCCCCUUUUCCUCGCAGAGAUGUCGUUCAAGUGCAGAAUGAAGAGACAGCCGGGCCGGGGAAGGGGGCUGCAGAGGGGUCCGAAUCUGGGAUGCUGCUUUCACUGUGCCACCCUGGGCGAGCCCUUGUCCUCGUGGCACCUGCGUUCUCCACCUGCCCGUUCUCCAAGGCCCCUUUAGCAGCCCUGCCAGCCCCCUGCCCUUCCUCCCUGCCCUCCCGCCACUCGGCUGGCAUCUGCAGAGCACGGAACGACAAGGCCCCACUCCGCACCCGACUGGCUGGCAUUUCGGCUCACAGACACCUCUCCCCGAGAAGCAGCUCUCAUUUCCACCCCGUGAGAAACGGUCGUCUCGCACCCAGGCGGCCCCCGCCCAACGUGGGGCAGCCAGCUGCUUCCACGGUGGGGACCGAGGGCCUGGCCUGGGCUCCCAGAACAACGAUGGGGGCCCCUUUGCACUGGCCUGGAGGGAGCACAGACGCACGGCAGGAGGUCCAGCGCCAAAGGAGAACACCCACGGCUGAGCGCUUUCAAGCCAAGGUCUGGACCAAUGAACACAUGGAAUUGGGCUUUGACUUUCUGCGGCCUUGCCCCAGAAAAAGAUGACACAGGCUCCCUGGAGAGAUCACUGUGAUGAACGCUAGUGGGCAUUUGCUCCAUUCAUUCGUUCAUUCACUCAUUCACCCAAUAUUUUUCCAGGGCCUGCCGGAUCCGUCACCGUUUAGAGGGACCGAAUCUCUGUCAUCAGGGAGUUUCAAUUCUCUCGGGGGAGACAGCCAAUCAGAGAAUAAGGAAAUAACCGUCACGUUUGUAAGGGACCAAUAUUAGGGAGCAAAAUGAAUAGCUUUUACCAAAAAAGAAGAAAAUGAAGGAAGGGCUUAGUGAGACGUGUGUUAGAUCCGACAGGGUGCAGAAUUUGCAUUUUAAUACGCUCCAUCAGCAGCUGGGUGGAAAGGCUGUGCCACAUGCCACGGGGGAUGGAGAGAGCACAAAGAGGUGGGGUCCCCUCUUCAGGGAGUGUGUGGCCCGGCCGAGGGGGCGGUUCUUACACAAAUGUAAUGAGUACCCUUUAAUGGGAACAUGUUACCUGCCAGCCUUUUACAUGGGUUAUCUCGUGUAAUCCCCACAGCUACCCCUUGAUAUAAAUAUUAUUACUAAAUAUUAUUAUAUUAUGAUGUCCCCACUUCGUGGAUGUGUAAACUGAGGCCUGGAGCCAUCAAGUAAGCUACUCAGAGUCACACAGCAGGUGCAGAGUUGGGGUUCAGAGAUUUAGCAUCUAGCAGUCUGACUGCUGGGGCGAGGGGCGUAACCACGGCGCCAUAGCUGUGGCACCAAGCAGAGAUGAAUGCUCUUAGAUAGAGGCCAACGGGAGCCACUGCCCUCAGAGGAGCGGGCCCUGGAAGGGCUCUGUGGACCAAGAGGCCUCACAGUCGGGCAGGACUUCACCAGCAGUGAUGGAGGAGGGCGUUCCAGGAAGAGGCACAGCAGGAGCAAAGGUGCAGAGGCUGGGGGACAGGUGUGCUGGCGGGGAGCUGGGACACAGGCUCCUACUGGAGGCGAGGGCCAUUCUGGCGUGACCUCGAUUGCAGGACAGACCAUGAGGCUUCAGGCAGUUGGCAGUGGGAGCCACUAGAGAGGCCUGAGCAGGGGACUGGCUCCGAGUGAGGGCAGGAGAAUAAAUGGGUGCUGAUGGGCAAAACUGGUGGGAAGAAAGACAUGCGACAGGCUUGAGAGGCAGGCCACCAUGUUGGAGCUGGCAGAGCAUGUGGCUAAAAGCAUGGACCCUUGACCCACCCUGCUUAGAUUGGGUUCCAGCUCUGCCACCAUAGCAGGCAC